This is a long non-coding RNA of Solanum pennellii, 599 nucleotides long. RefSeq lists it as uncharacterized. Lineage: Eukaryota; Viridiplantae; Streptophyta; Magnoliopsida; Solanales; Solanaceae. The record is from RefSeq and is a predicted model, not a curated record. The transcript has 4 exons.
UUUACCUGACACAUAAUUUAAGAAAAACUAACGAAGACUAUUAAAUCUUAUGAUGUUAAAUCAAAACAUAUGGAAUGUACGAAAGUACAAGUAACAUAAAAAAAUGAAAUCGACUAAAAUAAUGGGAGAAAACAAACUUUUUAUUAUUAGAUCGGCAGAUUCGUAAUUUGAGGACCAAAGGGUGGCUUCAAUUAAAGUAUUGUGGAGAAACAAGAACAUAGAAGAGGUGACCUGAGAAGUUGAGGAUGGCAUGAGAGCCAUAGUGCUUAGCUUGUCAUGUCAUACUGUGAGACCCUUAGGUUAGAAUUUCAGACCUGAGAAGUUGAGGAUGGCAUGAGUUGUUGGAGAUGUUAAUGAAUGUUGAUUGUGGCUAUUGGAUAGUGUGUAGGGAUUGGAAGUCUGUUUAUGUCAUGGAUAAUGGAUAGGUUUCUAAGGGUUGAAGAUGAAGCUUUGGUGAGUCCUCAUAGAUUUGAGAACAAGACACACAUGUUCAUUUUAUGUAUUUUAGUCUUUAUUUCAUGUCUUGUAUGGGCUUAUUACCAAAUGAUGUAUUCUAAAGUACAGAUGGUUUAAUGAGACAUUGUAAAGGUAGAAUUUUU